UCGACCCUAACCUCUCUCCUUGG
Molecule: non-coding RNA, 23 nt
Filed under: Arabidopsis thaliana (thale cress)
Lineage: Eukaryota; Viridiplantae; Streptophyta; Magnoliopsida; Brassicales; Brassicaceae
Source: RNAcentral